RNAcentral lists this ribosomal RNA (253 nucleotides) under uncultured bacterium. RNAcentral's name for it is "partial 16S ribosomal RNA". It matches the Rfam family "Bacterial small subunit ribosomal RNA", at positions 524 to 776 of the family's 1533-position model. The record is from RNAcentral.
UACGUAGGGGGCAAGCGUUAUCCGGAAUUAUUGGGCGUAAAGAGUGCGUAGGUGGUUUUAUAAGCGCAAAGGUGAAAGGCUACAGCUCAACUGUAGUAAGGCAUGCGAACUGUGAAACUUGAGUGCAGGAGAGGAGAGCGGAAUUCCUAGUGUAGCGGUGAAAUGCGUAGAUAUUAGGAGGAACACCAGUGGCGAAGGCGGCUCUCUGGACUGUAACUGACACUGAGGCACGAAAGCGUGGGGAGCGAACAGG